Molecule: transfer RNA, 77 nt
Filed under: Sphingomonas floccifaciens
Lineage: Bacteria; Pseudomonadati; Pseudomonadota; Alphaproteobacteria; Sphingomonadales; Sphingomonadaceae
Also listed under: 3 other names
Description: tRNA-Arg
Rfam family: tRNA
About the family: Transfer RNA (tRNA) molecules are approximately 80 nucleotides in length. Their secondary structure includes four short double-helical elements and three loops (D, anti-codon, and T loops).
Source: RNAcentral
GCCCCCGUAGCUCAGCCGGAUAGAGCGACGGUUUCCUAAACCGCAGGCCGUGAGUUCGAAUCUCGCCGGGGGCACCA